UUGAAACUCAAAAAAUUUGGCGGUAUUUUAGUCUAUUUAGAGGAACCUGUGAUGUAAUUGAUAAUCCACGAUGGAUCUUACUUAAUUUUGUUUUUCAGUUUGUAUAUCGCUGUUAUUUGAAAAUUUUAAAAGGACAAUAAUUUUCAGAAGUUUUUAUUAAAAAAUAAAUCAAGUCAAGGUGCAGCUUAUAGUUAAGGUUUACAUGGGUUACAAUAAAUUUAUUUAUAUGGAUUUUUACAUGAAAU
Molecule: ribosomal RNA, 245 nt
Filed under: Phacaspis mitis
Lineage: Eukaryota; Metazoa; Arthropoda; Insecta; Diptera; Dolichopodidae
Description: partial 12S ribosomal RNA
Source: RNAcentral